RNAcentral lists this ribosomal RNA (253 nucleotides) under uncultured bacterium. Its description in RNAcentral is "partial 16S ribosomal RNA". It matches the Rfam family "Bacterial small subunit ribosomal RNA", at positions 524 to 776 of the family's 1533-position model. The record is from RNAcentral.
UACAGAGGUCUCAAGCGUUGUUCGGAAUCAUUGGGCGUAAAGGGUGCGUAGGCGGCGAGACAAGUCGAGUGUGAAAUCCCCGAGCUUAACUUGGGAAUUGCGCUCGAAACUACGAUGCUCGAGUGUGGCAGAGGAAGGUGGAAUUCCACGUGUAGCGGUGAAAUGCGUAGAGAUGUGGUGGAACACCGAUGGCGAAGGCAGCCUUCUGGGCCAACACUGACGCUCAUGCACGAAAGCGUGGGGAGCAAACAGG